GAUGAACGCUGGCGGCGUGCCUAAUACAUGCAAGUAGAACGCUGAAGGAGGAGCUUGCUCUUCUGGAUGAGUUGCGAACGGGUGAGUAACGCGUAGGUAACCUGCCUGGUAGCGGGGGAUAACUAUUGGAAACGAUAGCUAAUACCGCAUGACAACAGUUAUUGCAUGAUAACUGUUUAAAAGGGGCAACUGCUCCACUACCAGAUGGACCUGCGUUGUAUUAGCUAGUUGGUGAGGUAACGGCUCACCAAGGCGACGAUACAUAGCCGACCUGAGAGGGGGAUCGGCCACACUGGGACUGAGACACGGCCCAGACGCCUACGGGAGGCAGCAGUAGGGAAUCUUCGGCAAUGGACGGAAGUCUGACCGAACAACGCCGCGUGAGUGAAGAAGGUUUUCGGAUCGUAAAGCCCGGUUGUAAGAGAAGAACGAGUGUGAGAGUGGAAAGUUCACACUGUGACGGUAUCUUACCAGAAAGGGACGGCUAACUACGUG
Molecule: ribosomal RNA, 495 nt
Filed under: uncultured bacterium
Lineage: Bacteria
Description: partial 16S ribosomal RNA
Rfam family: Bacterial small subunit ribosomal RNA
Source: RNAcentral